This 206-nucleotide unclassified non-coding RNA is filed under the name uncultured Scolecobasidium. RNAcentral describes it as "sequence contains ITS1". Lineage: Eukaryota; Fungi; Ascomycota. The record is from RNAcentral.
UCGAGUUAGGGUCUUCUCAGGCCCGACCUCCCAACCCUUUGUCGAACUUACCACUUGUUGCUUCGGCGGGCCCGUCUCUCUGCUCACGCGGAGGGGCCGCCGGAGAACCGUCACACGUUCUCUGGCCCGCGCCCGUCGACAGCCCAAUUUACCAAACUCUGAACAAAACGUGUCACGAUCUGAGUAUCUAUUUAAAAAUAAAGCAA